Long non-coding RNA from Ictalurus punctatus (channel catfish), 1419 nucleotides. NCBI's taxonomy places the organism in Eukaryota, Metazoa, Chordata, Actinopteri, Siluriformes, Ictaluridae. The record is from Ensembl.
GUAAUUUAGGAUUAUAAUGAAUCCAGAUUCAUAAGUGGAAAAAAUACUGCGACGGCACAAUGAAUUAUAAGUUGAUGGCCUUGUGCAGGAGAUAUAUGCGCGCGGUGCGUGACCUUCCUGAUCGCUUUCACCGCUUAUGAGAAGAUUUCUCUUCAUUGUGAAUUACAGGCACUAAAACAUAAAUAUUCCUAACUUCUCAAAACGCAAUAAGCGCACGGAAAGGUUGAGAGACAGACGAGCAGCCGAUUUAUGUCCACAUCGGUGAAUAUUGAGUCUACAUGUCUCUCAUGCUUGACUUGUGUCAGCGCCAGAACCGUAUUUGCUAAAAGCAAUGGCUUCAUUCGCUGCUUCGGCUGAAAAAAAAAAAAGCUGUCCUUCAUUCUGUAACUCCAUAAAGUAUAGUAGUAAGUAUUAAAAAAAAAAACACACAAACUAUUAAACGAAGCAGCGUGCGAAUUUCUGGCCAAUAGUAGAUCGUGUAAAUAACAAAUCAUGUAUAAAUUAAACUGAUGUUGCUGUAUUGACAUGACUACGUAAAUAAAAUGAAAUAGUUCUUUCAGUUUACACACACCGGGUGAUUCGGCUGUAGAGAUCCAAUAGAGACGGGGGAAAUUCUCUGCUUGUUGAAGGAUAUUAUUCGUUAAUUGAUUCAUCCAUUCAUCUUCAGUGAGCAGUUUAUCCCAGGAAAAGUGCACAUGAGAACGGCACGUGGGAAAACGAUGUGGAUGGGAGCUGCACUGCUAGCACAUCACACGGUACCAUACACACCUAGGUGCAAUUUAGAGUCACCAGUCCACCUACCAGCAUGGUUUUAGGAGGUGGGAGGAAAUCUGGAACACUUAGGAAACACACACAGGUACAGGUAGAGCAUGUGAAACCGAGCUGACACUGGGUCACGAGCAGAAUCUGACACUGGGACACAAGCAGAAUCUGACACUGGUUCACGAACAGAAUCUAACACUGGUUCACGAGCAGAAUCUGACACUGGUCCACGAACAGAAUCUGACACUGGUUCACGAGCAGAAUCUGACACCGGUUCACGAGCAGAAUCUGACACCGGUUCACGAGCAGAAUCUGACACCGGUUCACGAGCAGAAUCUGACACUGGUUCACGAGCAGAAUCUGACACCGGGAGUCGAGUAGAAUCUGACACCGGGAGUCGAGUAGAAUCUGACACUGGUUCACGAACAGAAUCUGACACCGGUUCACGAGCAGAAUCUGACACCGGUCCACGAACAGAAUCUGACACCGGGACACGAGUAGAAUCUGACACUGGUUCACGAACAGAAUCUGACACUGGUUCACGAACAGAAUCUGACACUGGUUCACGAACAGAAUCUGACACUGGUUCACGAGCAGAAUCUGACACUGGUUGACGAACAGAAUCUGACACUGGUUCACGAGCAGAAUCUGACACCG